UAUCACCAAGACCAUGAUGACCCACUCUAAGCAAUAAAAGAAGAAUUCAUGUAGGUAUAAAUAUGAAGGAGCGUAUCCUAUAUACCACAAGUGGAAAUUCUCAUUUCCCAUAAAAAUUCAUAUUGAAAAUACAUUACAAGUCUUUUCCAAACCAUGGAAAGAUUAACAUAAACAACAGAAUUAUCGUAAUGCAAUUUAAACAAAGCAUGGAAUGCACAACUAGACAACGCAUGAAUUUGAUAAACAUAAAUCUUUGUAAAAGAAAACAUCGAUGGUUACAAGAGAGUCAAAAGUAUUCCCACCUAUUUUGAUGACAAGCCACGCCUACCUCGAUAUCCACGAUCCACUGGUUCAUCCUUUGAAUCGAUCGUUGUUAAUAUAGACUAAUUGUUGAUCAUACAAGAACUCUAAGAAACUAGCCAAAAUGGCUCAUACAAGAAUCACACAAGUCUAUCUAAUGGUUCUAAGCCUUCUUCUACACCAUUUUAUUAUUUAUCUUUAACAUAUCCAAGGUUUAUUAAUUCAAUUAGGUUGAUUCUAUAGUCCAUUAGUUAAAUCUUAUGAACAUCUACAACUUUGUCGAAGGAACCAAAGUAGGGCUGAGCAGAAAAACCGUAACCGCGGUUUUCAUCCGUAUCCGUCCGCAAAUUUGCGGGUAAAAACCAAUCUGCAAGAAUUAUGGACCGGACACGGGUGCAUUUUCAAAUCCGCACGUGGUGCGGUUACAGUUGCGGUUGGGAUUUGAUAACCGCGGAUUACCCGCACCGUAGGACAUUUAGGGAAUUAUUAAAAGUAUUAAGGAUAAUAUGGGAAGUUGGGGUUUUAUAUAUAAGGAUCUUAUAUUUCUAAACCCUAAUAGCCUUUUUUUCUUUCUUCGAGUUCAUCGUCUCAUCGUCUCAUCUUUUUUUCUUCGAGUUCAUCGAGUUCAUCUUCGAUUGCAGAGAAGUAAUUUCUUCUUCAUUGGUUGUAACAUCUUUAUCGAUUUGCAGAGAAGUAAGUAACGAUUAACUUUAGUUUUGAUUGCAGAAAAAUUAAAUUUUUUGAUUUUUUUUCCCCAAAUCGAUUGCAUGUUUGUGAUUGGUUUAAAGUAAAAGUUUCUCUUCUUUCUCUUUCGUUUCUUUAAGUUUCUAGGUUAAUAGCCAAGCUCUUUGUUCACUAAUCACCAGCGUUGGCGAUCAAAAGUUGAUUUUCUCGCAACCUCAAGCAAAUACCACUUUCUGUUCAUGUAUUCAGUAUUCUUUGACUCUUUCAUAAAAGGUAAUUACUUUUAGGUUUACUUUAAUUUGGUGUAAAGUUUGAUUUUUCAUCUAAGAUUAUGUGGAACUGAAAAUUGAGAAUUUGAGAUUGAUAUUUGUUAGAUCAUUUGUAUGAUUUAGUGGUUUCCAUUAUCAAUUAAAUUUAGAUAAUUUUAAUUUCAGUUCAGAUUUUUGUUUUAGGAAUUAGGAUUAACUUUCAAUUAUCAAUUCAAUUGGGAACUGGGGAUUCAUUCUCAUUUAAUUGUAUUCAUUUUUGAGUUCUUAUUUUGUUUUGGGAAAUAGGGUUAAGUAACUUUUAAUUCAAUUGGGUACAGGGAAUUCUAAUUGGUGUAUAUUUGUUUUGGGAAUUAAGGUUAAAUUAUAUUCGUUUUCAAUUUCUAAUUCAUUUUUUUAUUUUCAUUGGUUCAAUCAAUGGGUACCAUUUUUUUGUGAAUAAAUCAUAUUUGGAAAAGGGGUUAUUAAUGUUGAUAGCUUUUCCUUCACAUCCGGGAAGAAAAGAAGUAUAAUUUUAGUCGGCUGAAGACGAAGGGAUAUAGACGAGGAAGCGUUGCAAAGAAAGAGGAAUUGAGUAUUGGGAGGCUUUUGAUUUGGGUAGACAUCAAAUCGCUUGAUUAUUACGGUAAGAUGCGGCAGAAAUCUUGCAGGAAAUUCCAGACAUAUCUAUCAUGGAUUGAAUAAACUAGUACUCGAAUCCAAGGUCUCUUUUUCAGUUUUUGGCAUCAGAGAUUCAUAUGGCUUGGCACCAGACUUGUUGCAUUUGAAUUAGUACUCUUUUGUGUUAGCUGUUAACUAUCUUAUGUCUAUUGUUGCUUUUGAAUUACUGAAUUAGAACUCUUUUGUGUUAAAAAAACGUUU
Papaver somniferum (opium poppy) is the source of this 2111-nucleotide long non-coding RNA. RefSeq lists it as uncharacterized. Lineage: Eukaryota; Viridiplantae; Streptophyta; Magnoliopsida; Ranunculales; Papaveraceae. The record is from RefSeq and is a predicted model, not a curated record. The transcript is spliced from 3 exons.